GUAGGUGGCAAGCGUUGUCCGGAAUUAUUGGGCUUAAAGCGCGCGCAGGCGGUCCUUUAAGUCUGAUGUGAAAGCCCACGGCUCAACCGUGGAGGGUCAUUGGAAGCUGGGGGACUUGAGUACAGAAGAGGAAAGCGGAAUUCCAAGUGUAGCGGUGAAAUGCGUAGAGAUUUGGAGGAACACCAGUGGCGAAGGCGGCUUUCUGGUCUGUAACUGACGCUGAGGCGCGAAAGCGUGGGGAGCAAACAGGGAUUAGAUACCCUGGUAGUCCACGCCGUAAACGAUGAGUGCUAAGUGUUAGGGGGUUUCCGCCCCCUUAGUGCUGCAGCUAACGCAUUAAGCACUCCGCCUGGGGAUACGGCCGCAAGGCUG
This 372-nucleotide ribosomal RNA is filed under the name uncultured organism. Its description in RNAcentral is "partial 16S ribosomal RNA". It matches the Rfam family "Bacterial small subunit ribosomal RNA", at positions 527 to 896 of the family's 1533-position model. The record is from RNAcentral.